Molecule: transfer RNA, 85 nt
Filed under: Bacillota bacterium
Lineage: Bacteria; Bacillati; Bacillota
Also listed under: 5 other names
Description: tRNA-Leu
Rfam family: tRNA
About the family: Transfer RNA (tRNA) molecules are approximately 80 nucleotides in length. Their secondary structure includes four short double-helical elements and three loops (D, anti-codon, and T loops).
Source: RNAcentral
GCGAUCGUGGCGGAACUGGCAGACGCGCAAGACUAAGGAUCUUGUGGCUAACACCAUGCAGGUUCAAUUCCUGUCGAUCGCACCA